This is a long non-coding RNA of Maniola jurtina (meadow brown), 647 nucleotides long. RefSeq lists it as uncharacterized. The transcript has 2 exons. The record is from RefSeq and is a predicted model, not a curated record. NCBI's taxonomy places the organism in Eukaryota, Metazoa, Arthropoda, Insecta, Lepidoptera, Nymphalidae.
AUAAAACAUAGUAAAAAUAGCCAUCAUUUAUUUGAUUACAAAAUCUUUCGUCAGGAAAUAAAUUGCUACAUAAAAUAUUUUAACACGAAAUGCCUCAACCGAGGGCUGAGGCGCGGCCACGCAUACAUACACUCGCCACCAGGCGCUGACCGAGUGACUAGUGCAUGCGAAAUUAGUUCCUAUCACCUUCACAAUAUGCAAUAUUAUAACAUGCACGUUAGCUGGCCCGCUAACGUAGCUUCGAACCUAAAUACCUACAAAUACAUGGCUAGGCGUAUACUGGCAACAGGCGAUGCAAUAAGGGUCAGAUCUACAAAGCGCAGUUUGACUUUGCUGACUUAAUGCACUGUUAAAAUGAGACAGCGUUAUACAUUGCCGACAUAAAAUCUGUCUCGUUUUAACUUUAAGUCUGAGCAGAAUCAAAGUACGCUCUAUAGAUCUCGGCAUUACACCACGAUUUACAGUUCGAUUCAAACGAAACAUACAUAUAUUCAUGACAACAUUAACUGGGUUUGUAAGCGAAGCAUAGUAGAAAACCUUCCGCAGUGUAUAUUAUAUUACCAUGUACGUUAAGAUACUGUUAUUUAUUUAUUUAUUUGCUACACUAUUAUCACAUCUCACAAAAGGUAGAAAAUAUUACAAGUGGA